This 460-nucleotide ribosomal RNA is filed under the name uncultured bacterium. RNAcentral's name for it is "partial 16S ribosomal RNA". It matches the Rfam family "Bacterial small subunit ribosomal RNA", at positions 338 to 795 of the family's 1533-position model. The record is from RNAcentral.
CCUACGGGAGUCAGCAGUGAGGAAUAUUGGUCAAUGGACGAGAGUCUGAACCAGCCAAGUAGCGUGAAGGAUGACUGCCCUAUGGGUUGUAACCUUCUUUUAUAAAGGAAUAAAACGAGGCACGUGUGCCUUUUUGCAUGUACUUUAUGACUAAGGCUCGGCUAACUCCGUGCCAGCAGCCGCGGUAAUACGGAGGCUCCGAGCGUUAUCCGGAUUUAUUGGGUUUAAAGGGAGCGUAGAUGGGUUGUUAAGUCAGUUGUGAAAGUUUGCGGCUCAACCGUAAAAUUGCAAUUGAUACUGGCAGUCUUGAGUACAGUUGAGGUAGGCGGAAUUCGUGGUGUAGCGGUGAAAUGCUUAGAUAUCACGAAGAACCCCGAUUGUGAAGGCAGCUUACUAAACUGUGACUGACAUUGAUGCUCGAAAGUGUGGGUAUCAAACAGGAUUAGAUACCCUUGUAGUC